UCAUGGAUUUUGAUUUACAGCUGGCCCAAGGUCUGGGACUCUUGUAGUGUCCCACAGUAGAGUGGACUUUGGCCUCAAAACUUUGCCUUGCUUGUUUCCAUGGGUGGCUGAGAUUGAAGAGUUUUGCACAGUG
This 133-nucleotide small nucleolar RNA is filed under the name Chinchilla lanigera (long-tailed chinchilla). RNAcentral's name for it is "Small nucleolar RNA SNORA42/SNORA80 family (ENSCLAG00000020516.1)". The record is from RNAcentral. Lineage: Eukaryota; Metazoa; Chordata; Mammalia; Rodentia; Chinchillidae.